Non-coding RNA from Pelobates cultripes (western spadefoot toad), 538 nucleotides. The record is from the annotation of a GenBank genome assembly. NCBI's taxonomy places the organism in Eukaryota, Metazoa, Chordata, Amphibia, Anura, Pelobatidae.
GUUGAACAGGCGCCGGUAGCUCUGCUCCAGCCCCCACUCCAUUGCGACCAGAUGACUCAGGUCUGGCCCCAGGUCGUCCGCUCGGGGAAGAUCCAGCAGGGUUUCCCUGAUGUUGUGGAUGUCCCAGAACCGAAACUCUGUGGGGCAUCCAAAGUCAUCGCCCUCCUCAUAGGCCUCCCACAGUAAGCCUGGGCCAUUAUAAUCCUCUCCCUCGGGCAGAUAGUGGUUAGUCAUCGAGGGGCUGCGCUGGGUGGCGUACCACUUUAAUGCCCGGUAAGCUGCAUCUAGCCACAACUCCUUCCAAAUUAAAUCCCAGAGUUCCAACAACCAUUCAUCCAAGGGUUGCUCCCCUAGGAAAGGGGAGCGCAGGGCCUCGAGUACCUGGAACCGCUGCUCGUCACUGGGAAGGCUCUCUCCCCGCCGCCGUUGUACCUUUUCCAGGGCAUCGCGCCACAUCUCCGUACGAGUGACAUCUCUCCAGUCCAGUAUGCACUCCUCUGAUACAGGCCCGUCCUGUUGGGCCAAGUGCUGCUGCAAC